Molecule: non-coding RNA, 109 nt
Organism: Acanthosepion pharaonis
Lineage: Eukaryota; Metazoa; Mollusca; Cephalopoda; Sepiida; Sepiidae
Source: the annotation of a GenBank genome assembly
UUACGGCCACACCCCGUUUACACGCCGGUUCCCGUACAAUCACCGAAGUUAAGCAACGUUGAGCUUGGAGAGUACCUAGAUGGGUGAGUGCUUCGGAAUACUAGGUACU